Molecule: long non-coding RNA, 1186 nt
Organism: Strigops habroptila (Kakapo)
Lineage: Eukaryota; Metazoa; Chordata; Aves; Psittaciformes; Psittacidae
Exons: 4
Source: RefSeq, a predicted model, not a curated record
GUUGUGUUUAGCUCGCUGAGGCACAGACCCUUAUGUAAACAGCGCCACCAAGAAUAAUGAUGAUGAUAAUAAAAAACAAUAAACGCCCAAACUUCCGCCCGACAAACUGGUUUGAUGCCCGGUAGCCCUCAGCACGUGGGUGUGAGUGUAGCGGCCCUGAACAGCGGGAGUUGUGCAUCUUCAGUGUCAGGGAGGAGGAACGCGGUUUCCUGAACGCCGUGGUAGCAGCAGCGUGGCACCCAGGCUGGGGAACUGCCGCUGGGUGCUGGUGGGAGCUGCCAGCCAAGCAGGGAGAACUGAGGAUGGAGACCGGCCCUUCGCUCUCACCCGGCCCUGCUGUGUCUGAGACUCACACGGUGAAUAACCCCCCUGAGUUAAUGCUGCUGCUCCCCGUGUCUCAGAGCUUUCAUGCAGAAAUAGAUGUUCUAUUUGGCGAGGACAGUAUGACCUUACACAAAAGAGGUCUUGAAGUGCUUACUGUGCUAUGCGAUUGGGUUUAGAAUUUUUGUGCAUUUAGAGCAUAGUUUCUUCAUAGUACAAAUGCUUCUCUCUGGGAGGGUUUUUUUUGUCCCCAUGGAAAAGCAAUGAGGUCGUAAUGAUGCUGGUGGCAACAUCCCUCAUCCCAGCUUGUUGCCAAGAGUCAAGUGUCUCACUGUACGCCUCUGGCAUUGAUUCUCUUUCACCCAAAAGGUAAGUCUCCUGGAGUUAGUUCUGUUUCCCAUUUUACCUUUUAUUUUCUUAUCACCUUCAUUGUGUCAGCAUUGUAAAAAGAAAAAAGAAAAGCCUGUACUAUAUAGACUUCGUAGUUAAACAAGUAACGUGUGAAGCACAUGCACAGUUCCCCUCUGGUGCAUAUAGCACAGCCUUGGCUGGAGGGGAAAGUAAGGCAGCAUGGCAAAGGUUCUUUCAAAGGCUUACCCAUGUCACAGAUACACAUGGAUCACAUUGCUCCUCCAGACGACCGAAGGGCUCUUCUGGAAGGUGGUGGCCUGUCAAUCAAAUGCAAAGGACUGUCCCCAUCAGCAUGAACCACACUGAACAGUGCACAGCAUGACAGACAAGAAAGCUUCCCAGCAAAGAUACAGGUCAAAGACAGGCUGGCUCAAGGCUCCUAGAAACCUCAAGCAAAAACAACCUUCGUGUUGCCACAGAAGAGGCAAAAAGUCAGUCCCCAUGCCAUGGCUGU